CAUCGGGUGAGUGGUCUCUUUGUCUCCACCCACUCCCCCAUGCGCUAAGAAACACAGGCAUGAAAAGAAUCACCUUUAAUGUUGUGAAGUCAAGCACCUAAAAAUCUUGAAAAUUGUACAGCUAAAUAAUUUCUGUAAACUACAUUUUCCAUUUUUAAGGCAGAUGGAAAGGAACAGUUAAAUAGGAGGGAACGAGGACAGUGCUUAAGGUUGUAGUUUACAGCUACCAAAUAACACAUGGUUUAUUUGGUGUAUAGAGCACUGACCUGUUAGUGGAUGAAAGAAUAACAUAUGUCAAGUCAUUUAAUUUUGAAAAAGGGUGUUUGCCUUGUUCCUUGAAGAAUAUGAAAGGUGAAUACUGAGUGGGAAGGUGCAGGACAAGGCAGAUGUGCCCUCAGCCAGCUGGAUUCUGCACAAGAAAAUGGACUCUUUGCCUGGCCUUCUCUGGUGAGCUCCUCAACAAUGAACUGUGAAGACACAGAUGAGCCAAAAAAGUGAAAUGGACCAGAGACAAAGUCAGAGCAGAUUCCAGCCAAGAUGAAGAGGUUUUUGACCACCUUGAAAUUGGACAUAAAGCUGUGGCCUCCUUGAAAUGGCAGAAGAUGAGAGAGGAGGGAGGAGAUGUGGCCAGGAGAUGGGAAGUGAACUGCUCAAAAAGCAGGCACUGGCUUUGCCUUCUGCUGUCUCAGUGACAGCAAGGGUGCAGUGCUGGCACUUGGCAGGGUGCCCUUCUCCUGGGAGGGAAACGGGAAUGAAAAGCAUCACUGGGAAGGCACAGAGCUUGAAGGGCAGGCAGAGGGUCACAGUGGGGCUGGGGGGGGAAACAAGCAGAUACUAGGGAUGUUUGUGAGAGUGGGUGCUGGUGGAGAGGGUGCUGUGUGCUUAGGAGGCUUGGAGCUUCAUGGCAAACAUGGCAUGGAAAAGGGCAGCACAGGGAAACACAGCAUUCACAAGUAGACCUGAGCAGGGAGCUGCAGUGAUGAUACUUGCCACACUAUAUGUGUGAGUUGGGCUGCAGAAUUUGGCUCUUGAAAAGCAGAGUUCCAGGCACAUGAGAGAGAGUUAGGGUAAAAAUUACAGCAGGGUGAAAGGCUGCAGCUGAGAAAUCCUUUUGGCUCCAGCGGUGUUGGUGAACAAGUGAUGUAAAAUGCUGUGAUGUAGAGGAUGAGAGACACUGCACAGGGGUCACCCUGGGGACUUGCAAGAGCCUUUUGUCCCUGUGUGUUUUCCUGGCUGCCUUGGCUUAGGAAGUCAGCAGGAGUGCUAAGACUACAAGCUAUCCUUUUCUGACAGGCUACAUCUCCUUGCUGAUGUUCCUGGCUUCCUUAGCCAGAGCAAUAAAUACAAGCAGGAAUGCAGUUGUAGGCAGCCAGGCUUUGGCCUGACCAUGACAUUUUCUCAGCUGUAAGAAUAAUUUCAGAAGAGCAGACUAAGGGAAAUAUUUUUUGCUUAAUGGGUUAUAGCAUCUCAUCAGUCACAUACCAUACAAUACACAGUUUUAUAAACUGUAACAUUUUGCCUGGAUAUAAAUGAAUUGUAACUGAUAACCCAUACAAUUUAAUAGUUAGUUGUAAGUUUAUUUAAUGGUGUCAAAAGAUAUUGCAGUAAUGAAAAGAUGACAUUUUAAGGACUGCUAAAGCAACAGAUUAAUCAGAAGAAUGUGCUCACAGAACAACUGUAUACUCUUGGUUAGAUAUGACAAAAAAAAAAUGACAAUGUUUACAGAUUAAGAAUAACAAAAAACUGGGGGUAACCAAAAAUGCAAGAAACUGAAACAAGGGUUGUGUGAAUAUGUAAGAGAUUAAGACUGAAGGGGAAAAAAAAGUAUUAUCUAAUAGAGUGCUUGAAAGCCAGUACUUUGGCUGCAUUGCAUACCAGGAUACUCUUGAUCUGGUCAUUAGCUUAUAUGGUGGAUACCGUGAAAAUCAUCUCACUACAGAGUUGCAUGGUUAGAGCAGAUAUCUGGGCCCGUGCUGUUUUAUUGUGUUUUUCUCUUUAAGUAUUUCAUUGGCCAUUUUCCAUUCAAGUGACAUUGGGUUUUUACAAAUCUCAAAGUAAUUUCAUUUUCAUGAAUCCCAUUUCCCUCUGCCCUUCAGAAGGGGUGUAACUAUUUCCUUGUGACAGAAGGAAUCACAGGGGAAGUCAAACAAUGCAUGGCCUAAUCAAUAUCAGUAAGAGAAUGCCAUUGAGUAAUUGAUCUGCAUUUUUCAGUGCAGCCUGUUGCCAUAAUGAGUGAUCUGCAGAGCAGAACUCCUCUAGACAGAAGAUAAAGGCCUCUGGUGAAAAUGAGUCUUUUUCAGAUGUAAAUACAGAAAAUACUGGAAUGAGAGACUUUUUGGCUUUUAUUAGAUGCAGCUCUAUUUUUGAACUAGCACCAAUACUUCCUUACAUUAAGAAAUGCAGAAAACACUGGAAUUAUUAUUGACAUUGUUUAACUGUACAAUGGGUAGUUAUCUUUGUCCCCCUUUCUUACUUUUAAGGACCUGUUUGCUUAAUUCAACAAUAAAAUCCCAUCAAUA
Long non-coding RNA from Passer domesticus (house sparrow), 2519 nucleotides. RefSeq lists it as uncharacterized. NCBI's taxonomy places the organism in Eukaryota, Metazoa, Chordata, Aves, Passeriformes, Passeridae. The record is from RefSeq and is a predicted model, not a curated record. The transcript is spliced from 3 exons.